UGUCCAGUAGCACCUUAGAGACCAACUAAGUUUGUUCUUGGUAUGAGCUUUUGCUAGUUGGUCUCUAAGGUGCUACUGGACA
Non-coding RNA from Podarcis lilfordi (Lilford's wall lizard), 82 nucleotides. NCBI's taxonomy places the organism in Eukaryota, Metazoa, Chordata, Lepidosauria, Squamata, Lacertidae. The record is from the annotation of a GenBank genome assembly.